CCAACGGCCCUCUUUAGGGCCACAUCUUAUUUUCGAAUACGUGUGU
Ancylostoma duodenale is the source of this 46-nucleotide non-coding RNA. The record is from Rfam. Lineage: Eukaryota; Metazoa; Nematoda; Chromadorea; Rhabditida; Ancylostomatidae.